Molecule: non-coding RNA, 7618 nt
Organism: Miniopterus natalensis
Lineage: Eukaryota; Metazoa; Chordata; Mammalia; Chiroptera; Miniopteridae
Source: RefSeq, a predicted model, not a curated record
GACCGCAGCGCCGGCGAGCGGGCUGCUGGCAGUCAUGGUGGCGCUGCCGGGCCUCGGGAGCGGCCUGCAGCCCUGGUGCCCGCUGGAUCUCAGCCCAGAAUGGGUAGACACAGUUUGGGAACUGGACUUCACAGAGACUGAACCUUUGGAUCCCAACAUAGAAGCAGAAAUUAUAGAGUCUGGAUUGGAUGCAUUCACAAAACUCCAUGAAAGUCUUUUCUGCUUUGCUACUGAAGAACGUGGAUCUACAGAGAUCAUUUGGACCUUCUUCAUUGAGAACAAUAUUUCUCACCGAGCGCUGGUGGCUUUAUUCUAUCACUUUGUUCAGACAGUCCAUAAGAAAAAUGUCAGUGCGCAAUAUCGAGAAUAUGGCCUUCAUGCUGCUGGUCUUUAUUUUCUGCUACUAGAAGUACCAGGCAGUGUAGCCAAUCAAAUAUUCCACCCGGUGAUGUUUGACAAAUGUAUACAAAUUCUAAAGAAGAGCUGGCCUCAGGAAUCUAACUUGAGUCGGAAAAGAAAGAAAGAACAGCCUAAGAGCUCUCAGGCUAAUCCAAGAGGGCACAGAAAGAGAGGAAAGCCACCCAGGAAAGAGGAUAUUGAGAUGGAUGAAAUUAUAGAAGAACAAGAAGAUGAGGAGGACAUUUGCUUUUCUCCCUGGGACCUUUGUCAAAUACGAAAAGCCAUCUUUCAUCUUUUAAGUAACUUUUUAAGGCUUUUGUCCAAGUUUUCCCUGAAAGAAAAGCCACAGUGUGUACAGAAUUGUAUAGAGGUCUUUGUGGCAUUAACAAGUUUCGAGCCAGUUCUUCAUGAAUUUCAUGUUACACAUGCCAGAAACCUUAACCAAGCAAAGUGCAUACCAGAACUGGCCUAUCAUGGAUUGUAUUUGCUAUGCUCCCCAAUUCAUGGAGGAGACAAGGUUAUCAGUUAUAUUUUCCAUCAAAUGCUAAAUGUAAUAUUAAUGUUAGAAGUGGGCGAAGGAUCCCAUCAUGCCCCCGUUGCUAUUACUUCAUCAGUCAUCAACAGCAGAAACCAGGCAGUCCAGUUUAUCAGCUCACUUGUGGAUGAACUAAAGGAAAGUGUAUUCCCAGUUCUUCGUAUCUUACUCCAGCACAUCUGUGCCAAGGUGGUAGAUAAAUCAGAGUAUCGGACCUAUGCAGCUCAGUCCCUGGUACAGCUGCUCAGCAAACUUCCUUGUGGGGAAUAUGCUACAUUUAUUGCCUGGCUUUAUAGAUAUUCACGAAGUUCCAAGAUCCCACACAGGGUUUUUACUCUUGAUGUUGCCUUGGCUUUGUUGGAACUGCCAGAAAGAGAGGCAGAUAACACACUCUCCUUGGAGGAUCAGAAGUUCUUAAAGCAUAAGUUCUUGGUGCAGGACAUUAUGUUUGAUCGCUGUUUAGACAAGGCACCGACUGUCCGCAGCAAGGCAUUGUCCAGUUUUGCACAUUGCCUGGAGUUGUCUGUUAGCACCGCAUCGGAGAGCAUUCUGGAAUUUCUGAUUAACAGUCCUACAAUUUUAGGAAUAGAGAGCCACCCUGGUACUUUACUGAAAAAUUCAUCAGCUUUUUCCUGUCAGAAGCAGACACUUAACCGUUCUGGAGACUCAGGGGUGAUCAAUACAGACAGCAGUGGUGAAACAAUUGGAUCUAGGGCAGAAAGAUGUGUCAUGGUCAUGCUGAGAAAGAGAAUCAGGGAUGAGAAGACCAACGUUAGGAAGUCUGCGCUCCAGGUGCUGGUGAGUGUUUUGAAACACUGCAGCAUCUCAGGUAUGAAGGAGGAGCUGUUGAUUCUUCAGGAGCAGUGUCGGGAUCCUGCGGUGUCUGUCCGGAAGCAGGCAUUACAGUCUCUCACUGAACUUCUUAUGGCCCACCCUAGAUGUGUCCAGAUACAGAAAGCCUGGCUGAUGGGGAUCACCCCCGUUGUGAUGGACUCUGAGAGCACUGUGCAGGAAAAGGCCCUGGAAUGCCUUGACCAGCUCCUGCUGCAGAACAUUAAGCAUUUCAAUAAGUUUCACAGUGGAGAUGACAGCCAGGUGCUAGCUUGGGCACUACUUUCUCUCCUUAGUACAGAAAACCAGGAAUUGAGCCGCUAUUUAAAUAAGGCUUUUUAUAUCUGGUCCAAGAAAGAUAAGUUCUCAUCUGCUUUUAUAAACAAUAUACUGUCCCACACGGACGCGGAGCAUUCCGCACCAGCCUGGAUGCUGCUGUCCAAGAUUGCCGGCUCGUCACCCAAGCUCGACUAUGUCAGAGUGAUAGAGUCCUGGGAGGAGAUCAGCAGUCAACAGAGUCCCAAUUCAAACACCUUAGGACAUAUUCUGUGUGUUAUUGGGCAUAUUGCAAAGCAUCUUCCAAAGAGCACCCGUGACAAGGUGACUGAUGUCGUCAAGUGUAAGCUGAGUGGAUUCCAGUGGUCUCUAGAGUUGAUCAGCUCAGCCGUCGAUACUUUGCAAAGACUCUGUAGAGCAUCUGCAGAGACAGCUGUGGAGGAGCAGGAGCUGCUGACGCAGGUGUGCGGGGACGUCCUCUCCGCCUGUGUGCACUGCCUCUCCAACAUCGUUCUGCGGGAAGGCGGCGCCGGGAACAUGGAUGAAGACCUGCUGGUGAAGUAUAUUUUUACCUUAGGAGAUAUAGCGCAGCUCUGCCCAGCCAGAGUGGAGAAGCGAGCCUUCCUUCUGAUUCAGUCCAUUGUAGCUUCUUCUGCUGAUGUGGAUCAUUUAGCAUCCUCUCAAGGUAGCAGCGAAGCCCCAGCCUCUCAGCCGCUCACCCAGGUCAGAGGCUGUGUCAUGCCUUCUGUGAUCCGAGCACACGCCAUCAUUACCUUGGGUAAGCUGUGCUUACAGCACGAGGACCUUGCAAAGAAGAGCAUCCCGGCCCUUGUGAGAGAGCUGGAGGUGUGCGAUGACGUGGCUGUUCGCAACAAUGUUGUCAUUGUUAUGUGUGAUCUUUGUAUCCGGUACACUGUCAUGGUGGAUAAGUACAUCCCCAAUAUCGCCAUGUGUCUGAAGGAUUCAGAUCCAUUCAUCCGAAAGCAAACUCUCAUCUUGCUUACCAACCUCUUGCAGGAAGAGUUUGUGAAAUGGAAGGGCUCUCUGUUCUUCCGGUUUGUCAGCACUCUGAUAGACUCACACCCAGACAUCGCCAGUUUUGGGGAGUUUUGCCUCGCUCACCUGCUUCUGAAGAGGAAUCCUGUCAUGUUCUUCCAGCACUUCAUUGAGUGUAUUUUCCACUUUAAUAACUAUGAGAAGCACGAGAAGUACAACAAGUUCUCCCAGUCGGAGAGAGAGAAGCGUCUUUUUUCACUGAAGGGAAAGACAAACAAGGAGAAACGAAUGAAAAUCUACAAGUUUCUUCUAGAGCACUUCACAGACGAGCAGCGAUUCAAUAUCACGUCCAAAAUCUGCCUGAGUAUUCUGGCGUGCUUCGCAGAUGGCGUCCUGCCCCUGGACAUGGAAGCCAGCGAGCUCCUUUCAGAUACCUUCGAGGUCCUCAGCUCAAAGGAAAUCAAGCUUCUGGCCAUGAGAUCAAAACCAGACAAGGACCUCCUCCUGGAAGAAGAUGACAUGGCCCUGGCAGAUGUCGUCAUGCAGGAAGCUCAGAAGAAGCUCAUCUCACAGGUUCAGAAGAGGAAUUUCAUAGAGAACGUCAUUCCCAUCAUCGUCUCCCUGAAGACUGUGCUGGAAAAGAACAAGGUCCCAGCUCUGCGGGAGCUCAUGCACUACCUCAGGGAGGUAAUGCAGGAUUACCGGGAUGAGAUCAAGGACUUCUUUGCAGUUGACAAGCAGCUGGCAUCAGAACUCGAGUACGACAUGAAGAAGUACAGCGAACAGCUAGCCCAGGAGCAGGAGCUGGCAAGACAAGCUGAAGCGAACAGGGUGACGGAAGGUGCUGACGGGGCCCGGGCCCUGCAGGUUGCUCCAGGUUUAGAAAUAAUGUCAGCUUCUGAUGGCCAAGAAAAUGCCUCUGUACCCCGGGGUGCGAACCAGCCCUCGAGACCCGAGUCAAGCACUGGCCAGGCAGCAUCUCUUCCUCUUUCGGCUGAAGCGGGGCAGUUGAAGAGGCUCAUGCCCAAAGCCAGGUCCAUGUCCCUGAGUACCAUUGCGAUCCUGAAUUCCGUCAAGAAAGCCGUGGAGUCGAAUAGCAGGCGUCGGAAUCGGAGCAUAGGAGUGCUGCCUUUCACCUUAAAUUCUGAGAGCCUGGACAGAGCGCAUAGUCGCACGUCUUCCUACAGCCUGGAGCAGGAGGCCAGUGGAGCUGUUGACCCUGUAGCCAGACGAGCCAUCAGCACCCCUGAGAGUAAGUAGCUGAUGUGGGUGAGCUGGCUCCUCCUCACCCUCCCCUGCCGUCACUGCUGAAGUCCCAGGAAAACUCUUCCUGUUGUCAGAGUUCUCACUGGCUAAGGGCUCUCCUGACACUCAGCGGCACCGUAGUGCAUUGUGUCAGACCAAAUGUUUCGGGAUAAUUAUAACAAGGAUUCAUCAUUUAUGACAACUGGACUGAGCCCCAGCAGAACUUCUAGGGCUCGCCCAGGUGCUCUGCCUGUGAGCUGGUCGCACUGUCCACAGCUCGCCCAGGUGCUCUGCCUGUGAGCUGGUCGCACUGUCCACAGCUCGCCCAGGUGCUCUGCCUGUGAGCUGGUCGCACUGCCCACAGCUCGCCCAGGUGCUCUGCCUGUGAGCUGGUCGCACUGCCCACAGCUCGCCCAGGUGCUCUGCCUGUGAGCUGGUCACACUGCCCACAGCCGGGAGGUGUCCUCGUCCACAGACGGGGAGGCCAAGGUGCAGGUUCCUUGUGUAACUGCUCUGGGCAGCACAGUUCUUACCGUUCCAGACCCAACACCCCGCCCUCCUGCCUAACUCCCCAGGUUGGUCGAGUUGCUCAGCCACGUGCUUUGUAGCUGUGGGAUGUAUGUCGCUGAAUUCCACUCCUGAGCAAACAGACUUGAGAGGCAGCUGCACCUCAAGGAGUCCCUGUCCGCUGUGCGGAGAGCCCGUGUUCCCAUGUCUGCUGGGUGGUUCUGUCAUGUCCUAUUCCUUCCUUUUAAUUCAAAGGGGAAAUGAGUUAGAAGUGCAGCGUAUUUUCCCCAUUGCUUUGUUUUAUAGCUUCUUAUUGUCUCAAACUGUCCCCUAUAAAAACCAUAAUUUUGAGAAAAUAAUUACAGUGCGAAGAAAUUCUCGACAAAAUCUGUAGUGUAGUUUGCACGUGUCUCCGCCUGCCCCCAACCUGGUCUCCCACCUCCUGCACCCCAGCCGUAGGCGGUCCUCUCCGAGUGUCUGCGCGAGCCCUGCUCUGCCCUGACACAGGGCUUGCACGUGACGUGUCCUCAACCCAGAACGUGCCCUUCCUGGUACCACCUCGGCACCCUUCCGACUGGAUUAGGUGCCUCAUUCUCAGCAGCACUCACCACACUUCUCAACAAUUGUCUGUCCUUGCUGUUCCUAAGCUGCUAUUUUCUCCACUGUCCCUGCCCCCCAGUGCCUGGGCCACGAUAGUGUGGACCGAUGUUGGUCUGUGGUUAGCGGAAUGGCAUAGCUGGCCUGAGCUCAGGUUUCUCAUGCAGGUUCCUGUGUUGCUUCUACAGCCUUUUCUUUCGGUACUAAUCUUGGGAAUAUAUUAUGAUGUGGAGCCACGAAAUAUCGAGCCAUUCGGUUAGUCGAGCUACGCACCUACUAUGUCUGGUUAUUGUCUUGGUCCUAUUAUCUGUGAGGCUGUGAUCUCUCAGAAUAUUUGCCAGGUGAUUGAUAAUUUUCACCCAAGUCCACCUUAUAAGGGGGAUAAAUGGAUGAAUACACCUCCCCCCAGAUGACAACUGAGUCAUGACAGCUUUCAUCAUUAAAAGCAGUAAUUUUGAGUUCCUGUGUAUUGAACAGGUGUAAUGUUAUGUAUGUGAAAAGUCAACCUCUUUCACACAAAACAGUUUUCUGUAUGUUCUGUUCCUGGCCCAGGGGCACCAGGUGCUUCUGUUCAGACAGAAAAGAGGAGAUGGCCUCUCAGUUUAUCUCUGCGCAUCCCAUGAGGCACGCUCGGCACCAGUGGUCUCCUGGCUGCGUUUUCCUCAAGUGAGACCUGACUUGCUGCACUAGUGCUGCUGAGGUUUUGUGUGGAGCAGGUGCCCCAGGCUUGCUUUCUCUGGGCUCUUGGCUGUAAACUCCUGGGGGUCUCAUUCUGCAAAGAAGAAAGGCUUGGAGAAGGGUCUCCUGUUAGCUCUCCUUCCUGCGAGAAUUACUCAUUUAAGACAGCUCCAUUGCUCUUUCUCUGUAGUUUAUCCAUACAAAUUCUCUUGACAGUUCUUAAGUGGGGUGACUGUCAGGAGGUGGUCUCCGCUCUACAAACCAACGGGAAAAGUGCUGCCCAGCUCCUGUCCUGGCACCCUGUGUACUCGGGGUUAAUGGUGUGGAUUUGCCAAAUGGAAAUGAGUAAUUUUCAGAGCUGGAUUUUAAAAAUCCUUGAGGGGUUUAACAAGUGCUUCCUGCUGUCACUUGGGCAGCAGAGGUGCUCCUGCCUUUGAUUGUCAGGGUCUGCAAGUGUGUGGGGGACUCGGAGCUACUGCAGCAGUGCUGCUGUGAAGGUCAGAGGCUUCCAGACAGGAACAGGAAUGUGUGUGGUGGGGUGGGGGCUUCGGUGAGGCACAAGCAGAGACCUCCCAGGAAUGGGAAUGGGAAUGGGCAGAACUGAGCUGUUUGAGUGGCAGUGGCUGGAGUAGCUUGGGCACUCAGCACUGCAGACACACAAGACACACAGCACUGCGGGCACAGCACUGUGGACGCGCUGAUGGACUUUAAAACCUAGACUAGAAAGGUCUGGCUGGUACUCCUCAGGGUACAGUGUAAGGGGGAAACCUAAAAACUGUGCAGCCUGCGUCAUGUGUGUGCUUGCAGAAGGGACGGCAGGUUCUGAGAACGGUUGGCAGCCACACAGGCUCCCUUCUGACCAGUGUGACAGCAGCUCAUGCAAAAUGGUACAGACACAAAGUAGGAAGAAAUCACAGGAGUGUCACCACCCAGAUGUCAAAAGAAGGAACAGGAUGGUGUAGCUGGAUCAGGGAGAGCACUUCGGGCAGGAGGGCCUGUGUGGACCCAGGUGUGACACAGCAGGGUUGCUUAGAGAACGGUGACAGUCGGGUGCCAGGGGCCCACAGCUGGUGCCUGUGUGGGUUUUGUGAAGGUGGCUGGGCCAGGUGCAGGGCUGAGGCCAGCUCAGACUGAGGCUGGAUUGUUGGCCCCUAACCACUGAGCCACUAGGAUCCUUCAGCAGGGCAGAGACCUCACCAGAUCUUCAAACCAGUUUACCUCUAAGUGACACAGGGUCUCAUAGCUAAUAAAUGACAGCAGUUGCUCACACAUCUCCAGCACUUACCUUGACCAAGUACUGUGCUGAGGACUCAACUCAACGUCAGUGAUCUCACUUAAUCCUGAUAUUUGUAUCCCAUUUUAGAGGUAAAGACACUUGGGGUUCCCAGAGCCGUUCCCACAACUAGGAAGACAGAGCCAGAAUUCACACUGAGCCUGACUGUCUGUGUCCCCUACCCCCCCUCCGCCUCCUGAGGGUGAAUGGAGGGGAGGCCGGAAGGGAGAGCAAGGGCAAGGCGAGAGCGGGAGGGGACGUACGCAGGCAGGAGCGGGUCA